This 240-nucleotide long non-coding RNA is filed under the name Nicotiana benthamiana. RNAcentral describes it as "long non-coding RNA (NBEN_LNC008110)". The record is from RNAcentral. Lineage: Eukaryota; Viridiplantae; Streptophyta; Magnoliopsida; Solanales; Solanaceae.
AAAGUUGUCGGAAUUGAAAAAUAAAAAUAUGGAUAGGCUCGGAAUUCAAGGGCGAGCAGACUGUCCUGAAGAAGUUCUGGCCGGAAAGUACUGUAGCUGCCGGAAAAGUCACUGUAGUCGCCGGAAAAAACUCAAAGUUGUCGGAAUCGAACGAAAAUAGGAUGGGUAGGGUCAGAAUUAAUAGCCGACCAAACUGUACUGAAGGAGUCACCGGAAAAAAUGGCCGGAAAUAGGGUCACG